CAAAAUGACUCUCGGCAACGGAUAUCUCGGCUCUCGCAUCGAUUAAGAACGUAGCGAAAUGCGAUACUUGGUGUGAAUUGCAGAAUCCCGUGAACCAUCGAGUCUUUGAACGCAAGUUGCGCCCGAAGCCAUUAGGCCGAGGGCACGCCUGCCUGGGUGUCACA
RNAcentral lists this ribosomal RNA (164 nucleotides) under Ateleia chiangii. RNAcentral describes it as "5.8S ribosomal RNA". It matches the Rfam family "5.8S ribosomal RNA". Rfam says of the family: 5.8S ribosomal RNA (5.8S rRNA) is a component of the large subunit of the eukaryotic ribosome. Lineage: Eukaryota; Viridiplantae; Streptophyta; Magnoliopsida; Fabales; Fabaceae. The record is from RNAcentral.